GAUGAACGCUGGCGGCGUGCCUAAUACAUGCAAGUCGAGCGAACAGACGAGGAGCUUGCUCCUCUGACGUUAGCGGCGGACGGGUGAGUAACACGUGGAUAACCUACCUAUAAGACUGGGAUAACUUCGGGAAACCGGAGCUAAUACCGGAUAAUAUAUUGAACCGCAUGGUUCAAUAGUGAAAGACGGUUUUGCUGUCACUUAUUGAUGGAUCCGCGCCGCAUUAGCUAGUUGGUAAGGUAACGGCUUACCAAGGCAACGAUGCGUAGCCGACCUGAGAGGGUGAUCGGCCACACUGGAACUGAGACACGGUCCAGACUCCUACGGGAGGCAGCAGUAGGGAAUCUUCCGCAAUGGGCGAAAGCCUGACGGAGCAACGCCGCGUGAGUGAUGAAGGUCUUCGGAUCGUAAAACUCUGUUAUUAGGGAAGAACAAAUGUGUAAGUAACUAUGCACGUCUUGACGGUACCUAAUCAGAAAGCCACGGCUAACUACGUG
This 497-nucleotide ribosomal RNA is filed under the name uncultured bacterium. RNAcentral describes it as "partial 16S ribosomal RNA". It matches the Rfam family "Bacterial small subunit ribosomal RNA", at positions 28 to 507 of the family's 1533-position model. The record is from RNAcentral.